Non-coding RNA from Clostridium taeniosporum, 175 nucleotides. Lineage: Bacteria; Bacillati; Bacillota; Clostridia; Eubacteriales; Clostridiaceae. The record is from Rfam.
AAAAGAGGUAGAGGCGCAAAAUUUAAGAGUAUUAUUAUUGAGGUAAGCACGAUGACGUAGUAAGAAAGGAAAUUUUGCCGAAGCUUAUAACUGAUGUUUUAAGGUUAUAGAGCUGGGCUUAUGCAGAAUAUGUAUAAGACUGUCACAAAUUGGUUUGUGGUGAGCUAUCAUUCAU